This 347-nucleotide ribosomal RNA is filed under the name Escherichia coli. Its description in RNAcentral is "bacterial LSU rRNA". It matches the Rfam family "Bacterial large subunit ribosomal RNA", at positions 2193 to 2539 of the family's 2925-position model. Lineage: Bacteria; Pseudomonadati; Pseudomonadota; Gammaproteobacteria; Enterobacterales; Enterobacteriaceae. The record is from RNAcentral.
UGAAAUACCACCCUUUAAUGUUUGAUGUUCUAACGUUGACCCGUGAUCCGGGUUGCGGACAGUGUCUGGGGGGUAGUUUGACUGGGGCGGUCUCCUCCUAAAGAGUAACGGAGGAGCACGAAGGUUGGCUAAUCCUGGUCGGACAUCAGGAGGUUAGUGCAAUGGCAUAAGCCAGCUUGACUGCGAGCGUGACGGCGCGAGCAGGUGCGAAAGCAGGUCAUAGUGAUCCGGUGGUUCUGAAUGGAAGGGCCAUCGCUCAACGGAUAAAAGGUACUCCGGGGAUAACAGGCUGAUACCGCCCAAGAGUUCAUAUCGACGGCGGUGUUUGGCACCUCGAUGUCGGCUCA